This 253-nucleotide ribosomal RNA is filed under the name uncultured bacterium. RNAcentral describes it as "partial 16S ribosomal RNA". It matches the Rfam family "Bacterial small subunit ribosomal RNA", at positions 524 to 776 of the family's 1533-position model. The record is from RNAcentral.
UACAUGGGGUGCAAACGUUGCUCGGAAUUAUUGGGCGUAAAGCGCGCGUAGGCGGUUACUCAAGUCGGAUGUGAAAGCCCUCGGCUUAACUGAGGAAGUGCACCCGAAACUGAGUAGCUAGAGUACUAAAGAGGGUCGCGGAAUUCCCGGUGUAGAGGUGAAAUUCGUAGAUAUCGGGAGGAACACCGGUGGCGAAGGCGGCGACCUGGGUAGAUACUGACGCUGAGGCGCGAAAGCGUGGGGAGCAAACAGG